AGAGUUUGAUCAUGGCUCAGGACGAACGCUGGCGGCGUGCCUAAUACAUGCAAGUCGAACGCUUCUUUCCUCCCGAGUGCUUGCACUCAAUUGGAAAGAGGAGUGGCGGACGGGUGAGUAACACGUGGGUAACCUACCCAUCAGAGGGGGAUAACACUUGGAAACAGGUGCUAAUACCGCAUAACAGUUUAUGCCGCAUGGCAUAAGAGUGAAAGGCGCUUUCGGGUGUCGCUGAUGGAUGGACCCGCGGUGCAUUAGCUAGUUGGUGAGGUAACGGCUCACCAAGGCCACGAUGCAUAGCCGACCUGAGAGGGUGAUCGGCCACACUGGGACUGAGACACGGCCCAGACUCCUACGGGAGGCAGCAGUAGGGAAUCUUCGGCAAUGGACGAAAGUCUGACCGAGCAACGCCGCGUGAGUGAAGAAGGUUUUCGGAUCGUAAAACUCUGUUGUUAGAGAAGAACAAGGACGUUAGUAACUGAACGUCCCCUGACGGUAUCUAACCAGAAAGCCACGGCUAACUACGUGCCAGCAGCCGCGGUAAUACGUAGGUGGCAAGCGUUGUCCGGAUUUAUUGGGCGUAAAGCGAGCGCAGGCGGUUUCUUAAGUCUGAUGUGAAAGCCCCCGGCUCAACCGGGGAGGGUCAUUGGAAACUGGGAGACUUGAGUGCAGAAGAGGAGAGUGGAAUUCCAUGUGUAGCGGUGAAAUGCGUAGAUAUAUGGAGGAACACCAGUGGCGAAGGCGGCUCUCUGGUCUGUAACUGACGCUGAGGCUCGAAAGCGUGGGGAGCAAACAGGAUUAGAUACCCUGGUAGUCCACGCCGUAAACGAUGAGUGCUAAGUGUUGGAGGGUUUCCGCCCUUCAGUGCUGCAGCAAACGCAUUAAGCACUCCGCCUGGGGAGUACGACCGCAAGGUUGAAACUCAAAGGAAUUGACGGGGGCCCGCACAGGCGGUGGAGCAUGUGGUUUAAUUCGAAGCAACGCGAAGAACCUUACCAGGUCUUGACAUCCUUUGACCACUCUAGAGAUAGAGCUUUCCCUUCGGGGACAAAGUGACAGGUGGUGCAUGGUUGUCGUCAGCUCGUGUCGUGAGAUGUUGGGUUAAGUCCCGCAACGAGCGCAACCCUUAUUGUUAGUUGCCAUCAUUUAGUUGGGCACUCUAGCGAGACUGCCGGUGACAAACCGGAGGAAGGUGGGGAUGACGUCAAAUCAUCAUGCCCCUUAUGACCUGGGCUACACACGUGCUACAAUGGGAAGUACAACGAGUCGCUAGACCGCGAGGUCAUGCAAAUCUCUUAAAGCUUCUCUCAGUUCGGAUUGCAGGCUGCAACUCGCCUGCAUGAAGCCGGAAUCGCUAGUAAUCGCGGAUCAGCACGCCGCGGUGAAUACGUUCCCGGGCCUUGUA
Molecule: ribosomal RNA, 1405 nt
Filed under: unidentified marine bacterioplankton
Lineage: Bacteria
Description: bacterial SSU rRNA
Rfam family: Bacterial small subunit ribosomal RNA
Source: RNAcentral